GAGCUUAUGGUCCAACGGAUAAGACAAAAGUCUUCUAAACUUUUGAUGCAGGUUCGAUUCCUGCUAAGCUCA
This 72-nucleotide transfer RNA is filed under the name Desmodesmus abundans. RNAcentral's name for it is "tRNA-Arg". It matches the Rfam family "tRNA". From Rfam's summary of the family: Transfer RNA (tRNA) molecules are approximately 80 nucleotides in length. Their secondary structure includes four short double-helical elements and three loops (D, anti-codon, and T loops). Further hydrogen bonds mediate the characteristic L-shaped molecular structure. tRNAs have two regions of fundamental functional importance: the anti-codon, which is responsible for specific mRNA codon recognition, and the 3' end, to which the tRNAs corresponding amino acid is attached (by aminoacyl-tRNA synthetases). tRNAs cope with the degeneracy of the genetic code in two manners: having more than one tRNA (with a specific anti-codon) for a particular amino acid; and 'wobble' base-pairing, i.e. permitting non-standard base-pairing at the 3rd anti-codon position. Lineage: Eukaryota; Viridiplantae; Chlorophyta; Chlorophyceae; Sphaeropleales; Scenedesmaceae. The record is from RNAcentral. RNAcentral also lists the same sequence under 1 other name.